UACGAAGGGAGCUAGCGUUGUUCGGAAUUACUGGGCGUAAAGCGCGCGUAGGUGGCCUGCCAAGUCAGGGGUGAAAUCCCAGAGCUUAACUCUGGAAUUGCCUUUGAAACUGGUAGGCUUGAGUAUCGGAGGGGAUGGUGGAAUUUCUAAUGUAGCGGUGAAAUGCGUAGAUAUUAGAAGGAACACCGGUGGCGAAGGCGACCAUCUGGACGAUAACUGACACUGAGGCGCGAAAGCGUGGGGAUCAAACAGG
RNAcentral lists this ribosomal RNA (253 nucleotides) under uncultured prokaryote. Its description in RNAcentral is "partial 16S ribosomal RNA". It matches the Rfam family "Bacterial small subunit ribosomal RNA", at positions 524 to 776 of the family's 1533-position model. The record is from RNAcentral.